Molecule: non-coding RNA, 103 nt
Organism: Irpex rosettiformis
Lineage: Eukaryota; Fungi; Basidiomycota; Agaricomycetes; Polyporales; Irpicaceae
Source: the annotation of a GenBank genome assembly
GGUUUAAUGGUGUAGUUGGUUAUCACGUCCGUCUCACACAGUCUGCAGCAUUGCAGUAACUCAGGGUCACGGGAGGUCUCCAGUUCGAACCUGGGUUGAACCA